Molecule: long non-coding RNA, 134 nt
Organism: Stegostoma tigrinum
Lineage: Eukaryota; Metazoa; Chordata; Chondrichthyes; Orectolobiformes; Stegostomatidae
Exons: 4
Source: RefSeq, a predicted model, not a curated record
CGCCUCACCACAACCAUGAAGUACCUGGGUCUGCUCCUCCUGGUCAGUCUGAUAUCAGUGGCCAUGUCAGGACACAACGAUUAUGGUCAAGGAUACGGUGAUUAUGAUAAAGGAUACGGUGAUUACGAUAAAGG